UCCCUUUGUCAAGAAGAAAAGCAUGUGGUUUUGCCAACUGCAACUGUUACAAAACAAUAAAACAUACUCAUAACACCAUCUGGAAUAACUGACCAACUAACCCCCUUCCUCUCUCACUGAGUAGGCAGGGCAUAUCUAAUUUGUCUGUUCGCUGCUCGUAUGCCACAUUUCAGUAGGAAGUGGAGGAAGGAGACCGCUUCCUCUGUGGAGGAAGGAGGCAGCAGAGGAUACCUGGGAGACAUCUGAGGAUCCCAAAGACAUCUGAUGGCAGAACGUGGUGGGCUGAGGAAGACAGAACUUGUUGCAAUUCAGAAAGGAGCGAACUGUUUUUCACCAAACUGAAAACAAAGAGGGAUGUAAGGCUUUCUGAUCUUUUGGGGGAGCUCAUUAUCAAAAGUCUGUCUUAUCUUGAAGAUCUGUCCAGGGAAAAUGCUGGUGCCCAUAAAGUUAUUGCUGAAGAAAACAAGCAGAAGAACAAAUUUCUAUAUGCCACAGAAGAAGAGAAACUCUUGAGAGCAAACUUCCUGUUACUGUUUUAGGUUAUUCUCUUGCAGAAGUUGCAAUUACCUCUGUGUCAACAAUUUAAUUACAGAGUUUGCCAUGAACACUGAGUGACAUCCUUUCACUGAAGAUUCACAAGAAGAGAGAGAGGUGAUAACAGGAGUCACACAAUGUCUGAGAGACAGGUAGCGGUUUUCUGAACAGCAAGGUCGUGCACAGAUGUUUUUCCGUACUGUUACAGAUAUCUAUUUAUAAAGCAAUGCUGAAGAAAAAGAAAAAGCUAAUUCAAAAGUUUCCUAGCAAUGGAUGCGCAGUGUCAUUUUGCAGUAACAGCAGACCAGCGUAAGCUGUGCAGUGGUUUAGUGAGGUGCAUGGGGAAGGCUGGAAGGGAAAGGAUAGAAGUGAGAUUGACAGCAGGGAUUUCCCCCUCCCUCCUUCCCUAAAGUCUUUGCUAAUCCUAUGGGCUACAUCAGCCAUCCCCAGUCUACCCCCAUCCCCAGAUCCAGCACAGCAUUCUCUAUGUCCUUUUCACCUUCCAAAUUCCCCUUGCCUGGUUUUAGAAAAAAUAAAAUAACCCUGACAAAUGUUAGCA
Molecule: long non-coding RNA, 1093 nt
Filed under: Anas platyrhynchos platyrhynchos (common mallard)
Lineage: Eukaryota; Metazoa; Chordata; Aves; Anseriformes; Anatidae
Description: lncRNA (ENSAPLG00000019451.1)
Source: RNAcentral